This 380-nucleotide ribosomal RNA is filed under the name uncultured eukaryote. RNAcentral's name for it is "partial 18S ribosomal RNA". It matches the Rfam family "Eukaryotic small subunit ribosomal RNA", at positions 592 to 976 of the family's 1831-position model. The record is from RNAcentral.
CAAUAGCGUAUAUUAAAGUUGUUGCAGUUAAAAAGCUCGUAGUUGGAUUUGUGGCGUACGGUGUGUUCCGGGCACUUGUUGUCUGAGUAACCUGCUGUUGCCAUCCUUGGGUGGAACCUGUGUGGCAUUAGGUUGUCGUGCAGGGGAUGCCCAUCAUUUACUGUGAAAAAAUUAGAGUGUUCAAAGCAGGCUUAUGCCGUUGAAUAUAUUAGUAUGGAAUAAUGAGAUAGGACUUUUUUGCUAUUUUGUUGGUUUGCGCAAAGAGGUAAUGAUUAAUAGGGACAGUUGGGGGUAUUCGUAUUCCAUUGUCAGAGGUGAAAUUCUUGGAUUUUUGGAAGACGAACUACUGCGAAAGCAUUUACCAAGGAUGUUUUCAUUAA